Molecule: ribosomal RNA, 1999 nt
Filed under: Hydrogenophaga sp.
Lineage: Bacteria; Pseudomonadati; Pseudomonadota; Betaproteobacteria; Burkholderiales; Comamonadaceae
Description: partial 23S ribosomal RNA
Rfam family: Bacterial large subunit ribosomal RNA
Source: RNAcentral
GGUCAAGUGAAGAAGCGCAUACGGUGGAUGCCUUGGCAGUCAGAGGCGAUGAAAGACGUUGUAGCCUGCGAUAAGCUCCGGGGAGUCGGCAAACAGACUUUGAUCCGGAGAUCUCUGAAUGGGGGAACCCAGCCAGCAUAAGCUGGUUAUUACACACUGAAUACAUAGGUGUGUAAGGCGAACCAGGGGAACUGAAACAUCUAAGUACCCUGAGGAAUAGAAAUCAACCGAGAUUCCCUUAGUAGUGGCGAGCGAACGGGGACUAGCCCUUAAGUGGCUUUGAGAUUAGUGGAAGGCUCUGGAAAGUGCCGCCGUAGUGGGUGAUAGCCCCGUACACGAAAAUCUCUUAGUCAUGAAAUCGAGUAGGACGGAGCACGAGAAACUUUGUCUGAAUAUGGGGGGACCAUCCUCCAAGGCUAAAUACUACUGACUGACCGAUAGUGAACUAGUACCGUGAGGGAAAGGCGAAAAGAACCCCGGAGAGGGGAGUGAAAUAGAUCCUGAAACCGUAUGCGUACAAGCAGUGGGAGCCUACUUUGUUGGGUGACUGCGUACCUUUUGUAUAAUGGGUCAGCGACUUAUUUUCAGUGGCAAGCUUAACCGAAUAGGGGAGGCGUAGCGAAAGCGAGUCUUAAUAGGGCGUCUAGUCGCUGGGAAUAGACCCGAAACCGGGCGAUCUAUCCAUGGGCAGGUUGAAGGUUGGGUAACACUAACUGGAGGACCGAACCGACUACCGUUGAAAAGUUAGCGGAUGACCUGUGGAUCGGAGUGAAAGGCUAAUCAAGCUCGGAGAUAGCUGGUUCUCCUCGAAAGCUAUUUAGGUAGCGCCUCGUGUAUCACUGUUGGGGGUAGAGCACUGUUUCGGCUAGGGGGUCAUCCCGACUUACCAACCCGAUGCAAACUCCGAAUACCAACAAGUGUCAGCACGGGAGACACACGGCGGGUGCUAACGUCCGUCGUGAAAAGGGAAACAACCCAGACCGUCAGCUAAGGUCCCAAAGUUAUGGUUAAGUGGGAAACGAUGUGGGAAGGCUUAGACAGCUAGGAGGUUGGCUUAGAAGCAGCCACCCUUUAAAGAAAGCGUAAUAGCUCACUAGUCGAGUCGGCCUGCGCGGAAGAUGUAACGGGGCUCAAACCAUACACCGAAGCUACGGGUUCAUCUUAGGAUGAGCGGUAGAGGAGCGUUCUGUAAGCCUGUGAAGGUGAGUUGAGAAGCUUGCUGGAGGUAUCAGAAGUGCGAAUGCUGACAUGAGUAACGACAAUGGGAGUGAAAAACUCCCACGCCGAAAGACCAAGGUUUCCUGCGCAACGUUAAUCGACGCAGGGUGAGUCGGCCCCUAAGGUGAGGCAGAAAUGCGUAAUCGAUGGGAAACGGGUUAAUAUUCCCGUACUUCUAAUUACUGCGAUGGAGGGACGGAGAAGGCUAGGCCAGCACGGCGUUGGUUGUCCGUGUUUAAGGUGGUAGGCUGAUUUCUUAGGUAAAUCCGGGAGAUCAAGGCCGAGAACUGAUGACGAGUUAUCUUUUAGAUGACGAAGUGGUUGAUGCCAUGCUUCCAGGAAAAGCUUCUAAGCUUCAGGUAAUUAGGAACCGUACCCCAAACCGACACAGGUGGUUAGGUAGAGAAUACCAAGGCGCUUGAGAGAACUCGGGUGAAGGAACUAGGCAAAAUGGCACCGUAACUUCGGGAGAAGGUGCGCCGGUGAGGGUGAAGCAUUUACUGCGUAAGCCCACGCCGGUCGAAGAUACCAGGCCGCUGCGACUGUUUAUUAAAAACACAGCACUCUGCAAACACGAAAGUGGACGUAUAGGGUGUGACGCCUGCCCGGUGCCGGAAGGUUAAUUGAUGGGGUUAGCUAACGCGAAGCUCUUGAUCGAAGCCCCGGUAAACGGCGGCCGUAACUAUAACGGUCCUAAGGUAGCGAAAUUCCUUGUCGGGUAAGUUCCGACCUGCACGAAUGGCGUAACGAUGGCGGCGCUGUCUCCACCCGAGACUCAGUG